Molecule: ribosomal RNA, 200 nt
Filed under: uncultured bacterium
Lineage: Bacteria
Description: partial 16S ribosomal RNA
Rfam family: Bacterial small subunit ribosomal RNA
Source: RNAcentral
CAUGCCUGCAGUUCGACUNNUAGAGGGGAUCCAGAUCUCCUACGGGAGCCAGCAGUGGGGAAUAUUGCGCAAUGGGGGAAACCCCUGACGCAGCAAUACCGCGUGAGUGAAGAAGGUUUUCGGAUCGUAAAGCUCUGUUAUUGGGGAAGAAAAAAAGACGGUACCCAAGAAGAAAGUCCCGGCUAACUACGUGCCAGCAG